This 490-nucleotide ribosomal RNA is filed under the name uncultured bacterium. RNAcentral describes it as "partial 16S ribosomal RNA". It matches the Rfam family "Bacterial small subunit ribosomal RNA", at positions 30 to 507 of the family's 1533-position model. The record is from RNAcentral.
AUUGAACGCUGGCGGCAGGCCUAACACAUGCAAGUCGAACGGUAACAGGAAGAAGCUUGCUUCUUUGCUGACGAGUGGCGGACGGGUGAGUAAUGUCUGGGAAACUGCCUGAUGGAGGGGGAUAACUACUGGAAACGGUAGCUAAUACCGCAUAACGUCGCAAGACCAAAGAGGGGGACCUUCGGGCCUCUUGCCAUCGUCUGUGCCCAGAUGGGAUUAGCUAGUAGGUGGGGUAACGGCUCACCUAGGCGACGAUCCCUAGCUGGUCUGAGAGGAUGACCAGCCACACUGGAACUGAGACACGGUCCAGACUCCUACGGGAGGCAGCAGUGGGGAAUAUUGCACAAUGGGCGCAAGCCUGAUGCAGCCAUGCCGCGUGUAUGAAGAAGGCCUUCGGGUUGUAAAGUACUUUCAGCGGGGAGGAAGGGAGUAAAGUUAAUACCUUUGCUCAUUGACGUUACCCGCAGAAGAAGCACCGGCUAACUCCGUG